UGGCGACCGGCGCACGGGUGAGUAACGCGUAUGCAACCCCCCUAUCAGAAGGGAAUAACCCGGCGAAAGUCGGACUAAUACCGCAUAAAACAGGGACACCGCAUGGUGAUAUUUGUUAAAGAAAUUCGCUGAUAGAUGGGCAUGCGUUCCAUUAGGUAGUUGGUGAGGUAACGGCUCACCAAGCCGACGAUGGAUAGGGGAACUGAGAGGGUGGUCCCCCACACUGGUACUGAGACACGGACCAAACUCCUACGGGAGGCAGCAGUGAGGAAUAUUGGUCAAUGGGCGAGAGCCUGAACCAGCCAAGUCGCGUGAAGGAAGAAGGAUCUAUGGUUCGUAAACUUCUUUUGCAGGGGAAUAAAGUGCAGGACGUGUCCUGUUUUGUAUGUACCCUGAGAAUAAGGAUCGGCUAACUCCGUGCCAGCAGCCGCGGUAAUACCGAGGAUCCGAGCGUUAUCCGGAUUUAUUGGGUUUAAAGGGUGCGUAGGUGGUUUGAUAAGUCAGCGGUGAAAGUUUGCAGCUUAACUGUAAAAAUGCCGUUGAAACUGUCGGACUUGAGUGUAAAUGAAGUAGGCGGAAUGCGUGGUGUAGCGGUGAAAUGCUUAGAUAUCACGAAGAACUCCGAUUG
RNAcentral lists this ribosomal RNA (628 nucleotides) under uncultured Bacteroidales bacterium. RNAcentral describes it as "bacterial SSU rRNA". It matches the Rfam family "Bacterial small subunit ribosomal RNA", at positions 89 to 715 of the family's 1533-position model. Lineage: Bacteria; Pseudomonadati; Bacteroidota; Bacteroidia; Bacteroidales. The record is from RNAcentral.